AGUAGAGACAGGGUUUCACCAUGUUGGCCAGGAUGGUCUCAAUCUCUUGACCUUGUGAUCUGCCUGCCUCAACCUCCCAAAGUGCUGGAAUUACAAGUGUGAGCCACCGCGCCCAGCCCCAUUUCUUAUUUGGUCUGGCCAUCUUCUAAAGAGUUUGAACCUACUGAAGAACUAUCUUGACUGUCUUGAUGAGGGAGCUGAAGAAAUCCUUCACUGGAGUCUGAGCGGAAGUGGAAUCUAUUUUCCUUCUUCUUGAAUUUGGAAUGCUUUUGGCCAAGAGAAAGAGGUGGAAGUGAUGGUGUAACAGUUCCAAGUCUAGGCCUCAAGUUGCCUGUGGACUUCCACUCAGACUCUCAGAGCCCUGCUGGAGGAUGGAGAGACCACAUGGAACAGAGAAGGGUUAUCCCACCGAGGCCACCAUAGACCAGCCAGCCCUCAGCGUACAUGCCAGCUAAUUACAGAUGCAGGAGCAAACCCCUGGCCCAUACAUCAAUUUUAAUGUCAUUGAAUACAGAGAACAAAUCUCAUUCACUUUGGUAUCGGCUGGAGUCAACAAACAUUUAAAAAUCAUUUACUGCGUCUGAUUUUGGGUAUGUUGAAUUGGUGACGUCUGAGUUGCUUCUGGUCUAUCCUGAUAGAAACAUACAGUAAACAGAGAAAAAAAAGGAUCUCAGGUGAGAUGAUGUAUGGGAAUGCUCAGCAUACAGAAUGAAUGGAUAAGAGGCCUGAAAACAUAAUCCUGUAAACAACCAUAUUGAAAGAGAAGACAGAAGACAUCAAACAGGAUUUUGGAAGCAUUGCCUUCUACAGAAUCCACAGUAGUCCGAAGCUCUUCUACGGUUUUUGUCAAACUUUGAUUUUCCAUCUCUAGCUUCAAUAAUCUACUUGAUGUCAACUCAUUCACCUCAUGGCCCAGGGAUUUCUGGGGUGCUAUAAUAUUGAAAAAUACACCAUUGUAUUUACUCUUUACUGUUUUUACUAUGUUUACUCUUUACUAUUUAAAAAGUUGAGUGUAUAUGCAUUGCAUCAUCUGAUCCUUAACUUUAUUAAAAAUUCAAUGAGGUUAUAUAAGAUAAACAAGAUAAAAGAAGUAAAUCUUUUUUUUCCUUUUCUUUUUUUCUUUUUUUUAAAGAGACGGGGUCUCUCUCUGUCACCCAGGCUGGAGUGCAGUGAUGUGCUCCUAGCUCACUGCAGCCUCAAACGCCUGGUCUGAAGGGAUCCUCCCACCUCAGUCUCCCAAGCGGCCGGGACUGCAGGUACAGCCAGCUAAUUUUUUUAUUUUUUAGUAAAGACUGGGUCUCUGUUACUUAGGCUGGUCUCGAACUCCUGAGCUCAAGCAAUCCUCCUGCCUUGGCCUCCCAAAGUGCUGGGAUUACAGGCAUGAGCCGCUGCACCCAGCUAAGAGAUACAUGUUUAACUUUUAAUGCAUCCACAGCAUUCUAGUUAAAAAAAGCAUAAAAUUUAGAUUGAAGAAAUUGGAGUUCAAGCAGACCCAUUAAAUAUUUUGCUGAUAUAAGAACAUUAGGAUUUACAAAUGAAAUAUGAGACCUACUAUUUCAAGAAAGGAAAUGAAUAAAGGUACUGGAGAGAAU
This 1592-nucleotide long non-coding RNA is filed under the name Homo sapiens (human). RNAcentral's name for it is "PREDICTED lncRNA (TCONS_00148102)". The record is from RNAcentral. Lineage: Eukaryota; Metazoa; Chordata; Mammalia; Primates; Hominidae.